This 253-nucleotide ribosomal RNA is filed under the name uncultured bacterium. RNAcentral describes it as "partial 16S ribosomal RNA". It matches the Rfam family "Bacterial small subunit ribosomal RNA", at positions 524 to 776 of the family's 1533-position model. The record is from RNAcentral.
UACGUAGGGACCAAGCGUUGUUCGGAUUUACUGGGCGUAAAGGGCGCGUAGGCGGCAAUUCAAGUCAUCUGUGAAAUCUCCGGGCUUAACCCGGAACGGUCAGAUGAUACUGCUUUGCUAGAGUGCGGAAGGGGCAAUCGGAAUUCUUGGUGUAGCGGUGAAAUGCGUAGAUAUCAAGAGGAACACCUGAGGUGAAGACGGGUUGCUGGGCUGACACUGACGCUGAGGCGCGAAAGCCAGGGGAGCAAACGGG